AUUGNNGGGGCCNCCCAAGCAGGGANCUUNGNUUUAUUNGAAGCAACGGGAAGACCUUACUUAGGCUUGGCAUCCCCUGCAUACCCCAGAGAUKGGSGAANUCCUUCGGGCCAGGGAGCCAGUGGUGCAUGGUUGUCGUCAGCUCGUGUCGUGAGAUGUUGGGUUAAGUCCCCGCAACGAGCGCAACCCUUUMUCWUUAGUUGGCUAYCCMUUAAGUUGAGCACUCUAGUGAGACUAGCCCGGUGAUAACCGGGAGGAAGGUGGGGAUGACGUCAAAUCAUCAUGCCCCUUAUGUCUAGGGCUACACACGUGCUACAAUGGGCAGUACAAUAAGAUGCAACCUCGUGAGAGUGAGCCAAACUUUAAAACUGUUCCCAGUUCGGAUUGUAGGCUGCAACUCGCCUACAUGAAGCCGGAGUUGCUAGUAAUCGCGAAUCAGCAUGUCGCGGUGAAUACGUUCCCGGGCCUUGUACACACCGCCCGUCACACCAUGAGAGCUGGUAACACCCGAAGUCCGUGAGGUAACCGCAAGGAGCCAGCGGCCGANGGUGGGAUUAGUGAUUGGGGUGAAGGGUAACAAGGUUNNUUUUGGGC
RNAcentral lists this ribosomal RNA (594 nucleotides) under uncultured bacterium. RNAcentral describes it as "partial 16S ribosomal RNA". It matches the Rfam family "Bacterial small subunit ribosomal RNA", at positions 909 to 1508 of the family's 1533-position model. The record is from RNAcentral.